UACGGAGGGGGCUAGCGUUGUUCGGAAUUACUGGGCGUAAAGGGCGCGUAGGCGGCCUUCUAAGUCGAACGUGAAAUCCCCGGGCUCAACCCGGGAACUGCGUCCGAGACUGGAAGGCUCGAAUCCGGGAGAGGGAUGUGGAAUUCCAGGUGUAGCGGUGAAAUGCGUAGAUAUCUGGAGGAACAUCGGUGGCGAAGGCGGCAUCCUGGACCGGUAUUGACGCUGAGGCGCGAAAGCCAGGGGAGCAAACGGG
This 253-nucleotide ribosomal RNA is filed under the name uncultured bacterium. Its description in RNAcentral is "partial 16S ribosomal RNA". It matches the Rfam family "Bacterial small subunit ribosomal RNA", at positions 524 to 776 of the family's 1533-position model. The record is from RNAcentral.